GAUGAAAACGCAGCGAAAUGCGAUAAGUAAUGUGAAUUGCAGAAUUCAGUGAAUCAUCGAAUCUUUGAACGCACCUUGCACCCUUUGGUAUUCCGAAGGGUAUGCUCGUUUGAGUGUCAUUGUACUCUCACACUUCUAAUUCCUUUCGGGAUUGGGAGCGGUGGACUUGGGUGUUGCUGCUUUAGUUGUGGCUCACCUCAAAUAAGUUAGUGCAACUCUUGGUUGGACAUAGUACGGCGUGAUAAGUGUCUUCGCCGGCGCCUCUGUAAGGAGGGUGGCCGAUCGGGAGCUCUGUGCUUCAAACCGUCUUCGGACAAUCUUUGACAACUUGACCUCAAAUCGAGUAGGACUACCCGCUGAACUUAAGCAUAUCAAUAAGCGGAGGA
This 386-nucleotide unclassified non-coding RNA is filed under the name soil metagenome. RNAcentral's name for it is "partial contains 5.8S ribosomal RNA, internal transcribed spacer 2, and large subunit ribosomal RNA". The stretch from base 1 to 119 matches the Rfam family "5.8S ribosomal RNA", at positions 35 to 154 of the family's 154-position model. The record is from RNAcentral.